GGGGGCGUAGCUCAAUCGGUAGAGCAUCGGACUUUUAAUCCGCAGGUUCAGGGUUCGAGUCCCUGCGCCCCCA
This 73-nucleotide transfer RNA is filed under the name Phycisphaerales bacterium. RNAcentral describes it as "tRNA-Lys". It matches the Rfam family "tRNA". Rfam says of the family: Transfer RNA (tRNA) molecules are approximately 80 nucleotides in length. The record is from RNAcentral. Lineage: Bacteria; Pseudomonadati; Planctomycetota; Phycisphaerae; Phycisphaerales.